RNAcentral lists this ribosomal RNA (459 nucleotides) under uncultured bacterium. Its description in RNAcentral is "partial 16S ribosomal RNA". It matches the Rfam family "Bacterial small subunit ribosomal RNA", at positions 338 to 795 of the family's 1533-position model. The record is from RNAcentral.
CCUACGGGGCGCAGCAGUGAGGAAUAUUGGUCAAUGGGCGGAAGCCUGAACCAGCCAAGUAGCGUGCGGGAUGAAGGCCCUACGGGUCGUAAACCGCUUUUGCACGGGGAUAACACCCUCCACUUGUGGAGGUCUGCAGGUACCGUGCGAAUAAGGGCCGGCUAAGUCCGUGCCAGCAGCCGCGGUGAUACGUAGGGAGCCAGCGUUGUCCGGAAUUACUGGGUGUAAAGGGGGCGUAGGCGGGGAUGCAAGUUGGGUGUCAAAACUACCGGCUCAACCGAUAGUCGCACUCAAAACUGCAACUCUUGAGUGAAGUAGAGGCAGGCGGAAUUCCUAGUGUAGCGGUGAAAUGCGUAGAUAUUAGGAGGAACACCAGUGGCGAAGGCGGCCUGCUGGGCUUUUACUGACGCUGAGGCUCGAAAGUGUGGGGAGCAAACAGGAUUAGAUACCCUUGUAGUC